This 253-nucleotide ribosomal RNA is filed under the name uncultured bacterium. RNAcentral describes it as "partial 16S ribosomal RNA". It matches the Rfam family "Bacterial small subunit ribosomal RNA", at positions 524 to 776 of the family's 1533-position model. The record is from RNAcentral.
UACGUAGGGUGCGAGCGUUGUCCGGAAUUACUGGGCGUAAAGAGCUCGUAGGUGGUUUGUCGCGUUGUCCGUGAAAACUCACAACUCAAUUGUGGGCGUGCGGGCGAUACGGGCAGACUGGAGUACUGCAGGGGAGACUGGAAUUCCUGGUGUAGCGGUGGAAUGCGCAGAUAUCAGGAGGAACACCGGUGGCGAAGGCGGGUCUCUGGGCCGAUACUGACGUGGAGGAGCGAAAGCGUGGGGAGCGAACAGG